This 362-nucleotide ribosomal RNA is filed under the name uncultured Anaerolineaceae bacterium. Its description in RNAcentral is "bacterial SSU rRNA". It matches the Rfam family "Bacterial small subunit ribosomal RNA", at positions 1002 to 1382 of the family's 1533-position model. The record is from RNAcentral. Lineage: Bacteria; Bacillati; Chloroflexota; Anaerolineae; Anaerolineales; Anaerolineaceae.
UGAAAGGGACCGACCUUCGGGAGCCUAUACAGGUGUUGCAUGGCUGUCGUCAGCUCGUGUCGUGAGAUGUUCGGUUAAGUCCGCUAACGAGCGCAACCCUCGUCGUAUGUUAUAUGUGUCAUACGAGACUGCCGGUAAAAAGCCGGAGGAAGGUGAGGAUGAUGUCAAGUCAGCAUGACCUUUAUAUCCCGGGCUACACACACGCUACAAUGGUCUGUACAAUGGGUAGCCAAGCCGCGAGGCGGAGCCAAUCCUGAAAGCAGGCCUCAGUUCAGAUUGCAGUCUGCAACUCGACUGCAUGAAGCCGGAGUUGCUAGUAACCGCAGGUCAGCAAUACUGCGGUGAAUACGUUCCCGGGCCUU